UUAGACCUCAGAUCAGGCAAGACUACCCGCUG
Molecule: ribosomal RNA, 32 nt
Filed under: Trichoplax sp. H7
Lineage: Eukaryota; Metazoa; Placozoa; Uniplacotomia; Trichoplacea; Trichoplacidae
Description: partial 28S ribosomal RNA
Source: RNAcentral